This 252-nucleotide ribosomal RNA is filed under the name uncultured bacterium. Its description in RNAcentral is "partial 16S ribosomal RNA". It matches the Rfam family "Bacterial small subunit ribosomal RNA", at positions 524 to 776 of the family's 1533-position model. The record is from RNAcentral.
UACGGAGGGUGCAAGCGUUAUCCGGAUUCACUGGGUUUAAAGGGUGCGUAGGUGGGCAGGUAAGUCAGUGGUGAAAUCUCUGGGCUUAACCCGGAACUGCCGUUGAUACUAUUUGUCUUGAAUAUUGUGGAGGUAAGCGGAAUAUGUCAUGUAGCGGUGAAAUGCUUAGAUAUGACAUAGAACACCAAUUGCGAAGGCAGCUUACUACACAACGAUUGACGCUGAGGCACGAAAGCGUGGGGAUCAAACAGG